GGCCCCGUAGCUCAGGGGAUAGAGCAGCAGCCUUCUAAGCUGUGGGUCGCACGUUCGAAUCGUGCCGGGGUCGCCA
Molecule: transfer RNA, 76 nt
Filed under: Mycobacterium tuberculosis
Lineage: Bacteria; Bacillati; Actinomycetota; Actinomycetes; Mycobacteriales; Mycobacteriaceae
Description: tRNA-Arg
Rfam family: tRNA
About the family: Transfer RNA (tRNA) molecules are approximately 80 nucleotides in length. Their secondary structure includes four short double-helical elements and three loops (D, anti-codon, and T loops). Further hydrogen bonds mediate the characteristic L-shaped molecular structure. tRNAs have two regions of fundamental functional importance: the anti-codon, which is responsible for specific mRNA codon recognition, and the 3' end, to which the tRNAs corresponding amino acid is attached (by aminoacyl-tRNA synthetases). tRNAs cope with the degeneracy of the genetic code in two manners: having more than one tRNA (with a specific anti-codon) for a particular amino acid; and 'wobble' base-pairing, i.e. permitting non-standard base-pairing at the 3rd anti-codon position.
Source: RNAcentral